UGCAGGUACACGCAGCCUGUGGCAAGGGGCAACAAGAGGUUAAAUUCUAACAGGCGGCACAUUUGAUGUAACUGGUUACACCAGUGGGUGACAGAUAGGUCGACAAGGUCAUGACCACACGACCUACUGCCGUAAAUUGAGGCAGAAAGAGGCGGAAUGGCUUAAGCAUGUACUGUAACGGACGUUCUCAGCCCAGGACUGAAGGAGAUGGACAAGUGGACUUCCAUAUUAGUGAUGUUGUAAAUAAUGCCUUCAGGAAGGAAGUAUUCCAUCCUUUGGAGGAGCUGGUAUUCUUCCUUUUCCAAGAUUAUGCACAAAUGAGACAACAGUUAUGAGGAAGAUUCACAUGAUGAAAGUUUUCAAAAGAAACUGGCAGAAGACCCGACUGAUACUCAAAUUCCGCAAGCACACCCAUGGUAGUAUAGCUAGGUAAGUACACACACACACACACACACACACACACACACACACACACACACACACACACACACACACACACACACACAC
Molecule: long non-coding RNA, 507 nt
Organism: Procambarus clarkii (red swamp crayfish)
Lineage: Eukaryota; Metazoa; Arthropoda; Malacostraca; Decapoda; Cambaridae
Source: RefSeq, a predicted model, not a curated record